GUGGGGAAUAUUGGACAAUGGGCGCAAGCCUGAUCCAGCCAUGCCGCGUGAGUGAUGAAGGUCUUAGGAUUGUAAAGCUCUUUCACCGGUGAAGAUAAUGACGGUAACCGGAGAAGAAGCCCCGGCUAACUUCGUGCCAGCAGCCGCGGUAAUACGAAGGGGGCUAGCGUUGUUCGGAAUUACUGGGCGUAAAGCGCACGUAGGCGGAUAUUUAAGUCAGGGGUGAAAUCCCAGAGCUCAACUCUGGAACUGCCUUUGAUACUGGGUAUCUUGAGUAUGGAAGAGGUGAGUGGAAUUCCGAGUGUAGAGGUGAAAUUUGUAGAUAUUCGGAGGAACACCAGUGGCGAAGGCGGCUCACUGGUCCAUUACUGACGCUGAGGUGCGAAAGCGUGGGGAGCAAACAGGAUUAGAUACCCGAGUAGUCC
Molecule: ribosomal RNA, 425 nt
Filed under: uncultured bacterium
Lineage: Bacteria
Description: partial 16S ribosomal RNA
Rfam family: Bacterial small subunit ribosomal RNA
Source: RNAcentral